Molecule: long non-coding RNA, 34049 nt
Filed under: Triticum aestivum (bread wheat)
Lineage: Eukaryota; Viridiplantae; Streptophyta; Magnoliopsida; Poales; Poaceae
Description: long non-coding RNA (TAES_LNC009523)
Source: RNAcentral
UUUUUUUUUCUUUUUUUUCUUUUUUUCUUUUUCUUUCUCUUUUUUCUUUUUCUUUAGAACAAUCUCGGAUCAUCCUCAUCAUCCUGGAUGAGAUUGCAAUCCGCCAGAUUUUUCUUCUUACCCCUCUUCUUUUCGGGACACUCAUAAGCAUGAUGUCCUAAGUCUUGGCAAUUGAAGCACUUGUCCUUGGAUUUAUCACGACGACGCUCUCUUGCUCUCCACUCCGAUCUUGUCAACAAAAGUUGUUCACCGUCUUGGUCGUCCUCGACAUAGCUGCGCAAUCGUUCCUCAUGAACCUUCAACCUCCCCAUGACUUCCUCCAUAGUCAUCGUCUUGAAAUCGCCAAACUGCUCUAUGGCAGAUGCAAUCUGGAGAAACUUUGGCGGGACAGCUCGAAGGAUUUUCUUAAUGGCGGUUGUCUGCUCGAACUUUUCUCCAAGCCCUCGUAUCCCAUUGACGAUGGUUGUCAUCCGGAGAGCAAAGUCAUCGAUUGUUUCCGUGUCCUUCAUCUUGAGCCUCUCGAACUCAGAUUUGAGGGUUUGCAACCUCGCCUCCUUGAUGCAAUCGUCCCCAAGACGAUUCGUCUUUAUCGCCUCCCAAGCUUCAUUUGAUGUCGUCUUCUCAGCAAUGAAGGCGAACACAUCAUCCGGGAUACUUUGAUAGAUAGCCCUCAACGCCUUCUGAUCCAUCGUGUCGUCCACCUUGCGGGAGACGGCCACCACCGCAUCCCAAACUCCUUGUGCGCGCAUCAACGCCUUCAUCUUGAUCGCCUAAAUCGAGUAGUUGCUCUUUGUCAGCAUCGGGUAUGGGACAAACAUGCUUCCUCCUUUUUCAGCCAUGUUCUUGAUCAUCGCUCGACGCAGUCACAGCGCUCACCCAACGAUCUUGAACCUUGCUCUAGAUACCAAUUGUUGGAAUAGCCUUGCCUUUGAGACCAGCCUUCCACUGCGCAUACACGUACGAAGCUGUACCAAGCCCCUGGAUCGACUCCCUCCGGCCGGAACACACGCAUACACGUACAAAGUCGCCGGCUAGAAACUCACGCGAGAACACAAGGCACCAGACUCGAUUAUAGCAACAGGGGCGUGUCGCUCCUGAUCCUUUAUUUCUCUUUUUCUGGUACUCUUUACAACGUAUAUGACCACAUAUAUAUAUAUGGGGCCAAACCGACCUGAAGCUAGCUAACCUAGCAAUCCAAAACUGAUUCAAACUAGGACUCCUAGUCCUUGACGCUCACGUUGGCAUGCAAGCCACGUCUCCAACUCUAAUAUGUAGUUUGGAUUAAUCUCUAACAAUCUCUCCCUAAUCCAAACUUACCACAUCUACGAUUCAGACUAAACCUGUCAUGUCUAUACGCUGAGUAUGACCCGCCUGGAAACAUGCAGCGCCUCCUUGCUCUACAAUGUUGUGCCACCGCCAUUGCUUGGCCGCUACCUUGCACUCGGUCCGCACCAUACUCCUUGUACUUGCUUGCAGUAGAUCCACCCUCCACCGGUCGUACACAUCAUCGCUUUACGAUGGCUUCGCCUACCACCGUCCGCCUUCGGCAUCACACCGAAUCCACACUGGCCGCAACCAGGACACUCCACGAGGACAUGGACAUGACUCACGGAACACCGUGCACACCGCUUCAACCUGUGACUCCUUUGACAAGACGACAGAAAACACAACGAUUUUUUUCUUUUUUUUCAUUUUUUUCAUUUUUUCUUUUUCUUUCUCUUUUUUCUUUUUCCUUAGAACAAUCUCGGAUCAUCCUCAUCAUCCUGGAUGAGAUUGCAAUCCGCCAGAUUUUUUUUCUUACCCCUCUUCUUUUCAGGACAAGCAUGAUGUCCUAGGUCUUGGCAAUUGAAGCACUUGUCCUUGGAUUUAUCACGACGACGCUCUCUUGCUCUCCACUCCGAUCUUGUCAACAAAAGUUGUUCACCGUCUUGGUCGUCCUCGACAUAGCUGCGCAAUCGUUCCUCAUGAACCUUCAACCUCCCCAUGACUUCCUCCAUAGUCAUCGUCUUGAAAUCGCCGAACUGCUCUAUGGCAGAUGCAAUCUGGAGAAACUUUGGCGGGACAGAUCGAAGGAUUUUCUUAACGGCGGUUGUCUCCUCGAACUUUUCUCCAAGCCCUCGUAUCCCAUUGACGAUGGUUGUCAUCCGGAGAGCAAAGUCAUCGAUUGUUUCCGUGUCCUUUAUCUUGAGCCUCUGGAACUCAGACUUGAGGGUUUGCAACCUCGCCUCCUUGAUGCGAUCGUCCCCAAGACGAUUCGUCUUUAUUGCCUCCCAAGCUUCAUGUGAUGUCGUCUUCUCAGCAAUGAAGGCGAACACAUCAUCCGGGAUACUUUGAUAGAUAGCCGUCAACGCCUUCUGAUCCAUCGUGUCGUCCACCUUGCCGGAGACGGCCACCACCGCAUCCCAAACUCCUUGUGCGCGCAUCAACGCCUUCAUCUUGAUCGCCCAAAUCGAGUAGUUGCUCUUCGUCAGCAUCGGGUAUUGGACAAACACGCUUCCUCCUUUUUCAGCCAUGUUCUUGGUCGUCGCUCGACGCAGUCACAGCGCUCACCCAACGAUCUUGAACCUUGCUCUAGAUACCAAUUGUUGGAAUAGCCUUGCCUUUGAGACCAGCCUUCCGCUGCGCAUACACGUACGAAGCUGUACCAAGCCCCUGGAUCGACUCCCUCCGGCAGGAACACACGCGUAUAUGUAUGAAGUCGCCGGCUAGAAACUCACGCCAGAACACAAGGCACCAGACUCGAUUAUAGCAACAGGGGCGUGUCGCUCCUGAUCCUUUAUUUCUCUUUUUCUGGUACUCUUUACAACGUAUAUGACCACAUAUAUAUGGGGCCAAACCAACCUGAAGCUAGCUAACCUAGCAAUCGAAAACUGAUUCAAACUAGGACUCCUAGUACUUGACGCUCACGUUGGCAUGCAAGCCACGUCUCCAACUCUAAUACGUAGUUUGGAUUAAUCUCUAACAAUCUCUCCCUAAUCCAAACUUACCACAUCUACGACUCAGACUAAACAUGUCAUGUCUGUACGCUGAGUAUGACCCGCUUGGAAACAUGCAGCGCCUCCUUGCUCUACAAUGUUGUGCCACCGCCAUUGCUUGGCCGCUGCCUUGCACUCGGUCCGCACCAUACUCCUUGUACUUGCUUGCAGUACAUCCACCCUCCACCGGCCGCACACAUCCUCGCUUUACGAUGGCUUCGCCUACCCCCGUCCGCCUUCGGCAUCACACCGAAUCCACACUGGCCGCAAUCAGGACGUUCCCCGAGGACAUGGACAUGACUCACGGAACACCGUGCACACCGCUUCAACCUGUGACUCCUUUGACAAGACAACAGAAAACACAACGACUUUUUUUCUUUUUUUCUUUUUCUUUCUCUUUUUUCUUUUUCUUUAGAUGUAACUUCUCGAGUAGAUGAUUUUUCAUAUAAAAAACUUUUUCAUCCGAGUUAGUAUGCAAAAGUUAUGCCCAUUUUUACAAAUUUCAGAGAGAUUUUGCAAAUAACGUCAAAAUUCACAUUUGCAAAUUUUCCCAACAACUAGACCACAUAUCACAUGGGAAACUUAUUUUCUUUUAUUUUUUUGACAUUUCCAUCAUUUUAUUUUAUUUUUUUUAAACUGAAAAGGCGAUCCAGGGGGGGUAGAGUUUGAAAAUGGGACCUUUAGUACCGGUUCGUGGCACGAACCGGGACUAAAGGUCUCAUCCCCAUUAGUUCCGAUUCAUGCCUCAAACUGGGAUUAAAGGUCUAAUCUUUAGUCUCGGUUUGAGGCACGAACCGGGACCAAUGGUUGUGGGCCAGGAGCGAGGACCAUUGGUCCCGGUUCAUCCCACCAACCAGGACCAAAAGGUCCAGAUGAACCGGGACCAAUGGCCCACGUGGCCCGGCCGGCCCCCUGGGCUCACGAACCGGGACCAAUGCUCCCAUUGGUCCUGGUUCUGGACAGAACCGGGACUAAUGAGGUCACCCGGCCUGGACCAAAGCCCCCUUUUCUACUAGUGCAUGUUCUUGAUCGUCGCUCAACGCAGUCACAGCGAUCACCCAACGAUCUUGAACCUUGCUCUAGAUACCAAUUGUUGGAAUAGCCUUGCCUUUGAGACCAGCCUUCCGAUGCGCAUACACGUACGAAGUUGUACCAAGCCCCUGGAUCGACUCCCUCCAGCCGGAACACACGCGUAUACGUAUGAAGUCGCCGGCUAGAAACUCACGCGAGAACACAAGGCACCAGACUCGAUUAUAGCAACAGGGGCGUGUCGCUCCUGAUCCUUUAUUUCUCUUUUUCUGGUACUCUUUACAACGUAUAUGACCACAUAUAUAUAUGGGGCCAAACCAACCUGAAGCUAGCUAACCUAGCAAUCCAAAACUUAUUCAAACUAGGACUCCUAGUACUUGACGCUCACGUUGGCAUGCAAGCCACGUCUCCAACUCUAAUACGUAGUUUGGAUUAAUCUCUAACAAUGUCUCCCUAAUCCAAACUUACCACAUCUACGACUCAGACUAAACAUGUCAUGUCUGUACGCUGAGUAUGACCCGCCUGGAAACAUGCAGCGUCUCCUUGCUCUACAAUGUUGUGCCACCGCCAUUGCUUGGCCGCUGCCUUGCACUCGGUCCGCACCAUACUCCUUGUACUUGCUUGUAGUAGAUCCACCCUCCACCGGUCGCACACAUCCUCGCUUUACGAUGGCUUCGCCUACCACCGUCCGCCUUCGGCAUCACACCGAAUCCACACUGGCCGCAACCAGGACGCUCCACGAGGACAUGGACAUGACUCACGGAACAAUGUGCACACCGCUUCAACCUGUGACUCCUUUGACAAGACGACAGAAAACACAACGACUUUUUUUCUUUUUUUUUCUUUUUUUUUCUUUUUCUCUUUUUCUUUUUCUUUUUUCUUUUUCUUUAGAUGUAACUUUUCAAGUAGAUGAUUUUUCAUAUAAAAAACAUUUUCAUCCGAGUUAGUAUGCAAAAGUUAUGCCCAUUUUUACAAAUUUCAGAGAGAUUUUGCAAAUAAAGUCAAAAUUCACAUUUGCAAAUUUUCCCCACAGCUAGACCACAUAUCACAUGGGAAACUUAUUUUCUUUUAUUUUUUUGACAUUUCCAUCAUUUUCUUUUAUUUUUUUAAAAACUGAAAAGGCGAUCCACAGGGGGGGUAGAGUUUGAAAAUAGGACCUUUAGUACCGGUUCGUGGCACGAACCGGGACUAAAGGUCUCAUCCCCAUUAGUCCCGGUUCGUGCCUCAAACCGGGANNNNNNNNNNNNNNNNNNNNNNNNNNNNNNNNNNNNNNNNNNNNNNNNNNNNNNNNNNNNNNNNNNNNNNNNNNNNNNNNNNNNNNNNNNNNNNNNNNNNNNNNNNNNNNNNNNNNNNNNNNNNNNNNNNNNNNNNNNNNNNNNNNNNNNNNNNNNNNNNNNNNNNNNNNNNNNNNNNNNNNNNNNNNNNNNNNNNNNNNNNNNNNNNNNNNNNNNNNNNNNNNNNNNNNNNNNNNNNNNNNNNNNNNNNNNNNNNNNNNNNNNNNNNNNNNNNNNNNNNNNNNNNNNNNNNNNNNNNNNNNNNNNNNNNNNNNNNNNNNNNNNNNNNNNNNNNNNNNNNNNNNNNNNNNNNNNNNNNNNNNNNNNNNNNNNNNNNNNNNNNNNNNNNNNNNNNNNNNNNNNNNNNNNNNNNNNNNNNNNNNNNNNNNNNNNNNNNNNNNNNNNNNNNNNNNNNNNNNNNNNNNNNNNNNNNNNNNNNNNNNNNNNNNNNNNNNNNNGACCAAUAGUUGUGGGCCAGGAGCGAGGCCCAUUGGUCCCGGUUCAUCCCACCAACCGGGACCAAAAGGUCCAGAUGAACCGGGACAAAUGGCCCACGUGGCCCGGCCGGCCCCCUGGGCUCAUGAACCGGGACCAAUGCUCCCAUUGGUCCCGGUUCUGGACUGAACUAGGACUAAUGGGGUCACCCGGCCUAGACCAAAGCCCCCUUUUCUACUAGUGCAUGUUCUUAAUCGUCGCUCGACGCAGUCACAGCGAUCACCCAACGAUCUUGAACCUUGCUCUUGAUACCAAUUGUUGGAAUAGCCUUGCCUCUGAGACGAGCCUUCCAAUGCGCAUACACGUACGAAGCUGUACCAAGCCCCUGGAUCGACUCCCUCCGGCAGGAACACAAGCGUAUACGUAUGAAGUCGCCGGCUAGAAACUCACGCGAGAACACAAGGCACCAGACUCGAUUAUAGCAAUAGGGGCGUGUCGCUCCUGAUCCUUUAUUUCUCUUUUUCUGGUACUCUUUACAACGUAUAUGACCACAUAUAUAUAUGGGGCCAAACCGACCUAGAGCUAGCUAACCUAGCAAUCCAAAACUGAUUCAAACUAGGACUCCUAGUACUUGACGCUCACGUUGGCAUGCAAGCCACGUCUCCAACUCUAAUACGUAGUUUGGAUUAAUCUCUAACAAUCUCUCCCUAAUCCAAACUUACCAUAUCUACGACUCAGACUAAACAUGUCAUGUCUGUACGCUGAGUAUGACCCGCUGGAAACAUGCAACGCCUCCUUGCUCUACAAUGUUGUGCCACCGCCAUUGAUUGUCCGCUUCCUUGCACGCGGUCCGCACCAUACUCCUUGUACUUGCUUGCAGUAGAUCCACCCUCCACCGGUCGCACACAUCCUCGCUUUACGAUGGCUUCGCCCACCACCGUCCGCCUUCGGCAUCACACCGAAUCCACACUGGCCGCAACCAGGACGCUCCACAAGGACAUGGACAUGACUCACGGAACACCGUGCACACCGCUUCAACCUGUGACUCCUUUGACAAGACGACAGAAAACACAACGACUUUUUUUCUUUUUUUUCUUUUUUUUCUUUUUUUCCUUUUUUCUUUUUCUUUCUCUUUUUUCUUUUUCUUUAGAUGUAACUUUUCGAGUAGAUGAUUUUUCAUAUAAAAAACUUUUUCAUCCGAGUUAGUAUGCAAAAGUUAUGCCCAUUUUUACAAAUUUCAGAGAGAUUUUGCAAAUAAAGUCAAAAUUCACAUUUGCAAAUUUUACCAACAACUAGACCACAUAUCACAUGGGAAACUUAUUUUCUUUUAUUUUUUUGACAUUUCCAUCGUUUUCUUUUAUAUUUUUAAAACCUGAAAAGGCGAUCUAGGGGGGUAGAGUUUGAAAAUGGGACCUUUAGUACCGGUUCGUGGCACGAACCGGGACUAAAGGUCUCAUGCCCAUUAGUCCUGGUUCAUGCCUCAAACCGGGACUAAAGGUCUAAUCUUUAGUCCCGGAUUGAGGCACGAACCAGGACCAAUAGUUGUGGGCCAGGAGCGAGGCCCAUUGGUCCCGGUUCAUGCCACCAACCGGGACCAAAAGGUCCAGAUGAACCGGGACCAAUGGCCCACGUGGCCCGGCCGACCCCUGGGCUCACUAAUCGGGACCAAUGCUCCCAUUGGUCCCGGUUCUGGACUAAACCGGGACUAAUGGGGUCACCCGGCCUGGACCAAAGCCCCCUUUUCUACUAGUGCAUGUUCUUGAUCGUCGCUCGACGCAGUCACAGUGCUCAGCCAACGAUCUUGAACCUUGCUCUAGAUACCAAUUAUUGGAAUAGCCUUGCCUUUGAGACCAACCUUCUGCUGCGCAUACACGUACGAAGUUGUACCAAGCCCCUGGAUCGACUCCCUCCGGCCGGAACACACGCCUAUAUGUACGAAGUCGACGGCUAGAAACUCACGUGAGAACACAAGGCACCAGACUCGAUUAUAGCAACAGGGGCGAGUUGCUCCUGAUCCUUUAUUUCUCUUUUUCUGGUACUCUUUACAACGUAUAUGACCACAUAUAUAUGGGGCCAAACCGACCUGAAGCUAGCUAACCUAGCAAUCCAAAACUGAUUCAAACUAGGACUCCUAGUACUUGACGCUCAGGUUGGCAUGCAUGCCACGUCUCCAACUCUAAUACGUAGUUUGGAUUAAUCUCUAACAAUCUCUCCCUAAUCCAAACUUACCACAUCUACGACUCAGACUAAACAUGUCAUGUCUGUACACUGAGUAUGACCCGCCUGGAAACAUGCAGCGCCUUCUUGCUCUACAAUGUUGUGCCACCGCCAUUGCUUGGCUGCUGCCUUGCACUCGGUCCGCCCAUACUCCUUGUACUUGCUUGCAGUAGAUCCACCCUCCACCGGUCGCACACAUCCUCGCUUUACGAUGGCUUCGCCUACCACCGUCCGCCUUCGGCAUCACACCGAAUCCACACUGGCCGCAACCAGGACGCUCCACGAGGACAUGGACAUGACUCACGGAACACCGUGCACACCGCUUCAACCUGUGAUUCCUUUGACAAGACGACAGAAAACACAACGACUUUUUUUCUUUUUUUUCUUUUUUUUCUUUUUUUCUUUUUCUUUCUCUUUUUUGUUUUUCUUUAGAUGUAACUUUUCGAGUAGAUGAUUUUUCAUAUAAAAAACUUUUUCAUCCGAGUUAGUAUGCAAAAGUUAUGCCCAUUUUUACAAAUUUCAGAGAGACUUUGCAAAUAAAGUCAAAAUUCACAUUUGCAAAUUUUCCCAACAACUAGACCACAUAUCACAUGGGAAACUUAUUUUCUUUUAUUUUUUUGACAUUUCCAUCGUUUUCUUUUAUUUUUUAAAAAACUGAAAAGGUGAUCUAGGGGGGUAGAGUUUGAAAAUGGGACCUUUAGUACCGGUUCGUGGCACGAACCGUGACUAAAGGUCUCAUGCCCAUUAGUCCUGGUUCAUGGUUCAAACCGGGACUAAAGGUCUAAUCUUUAGUCCCGGUUUGAGGCACGAACCGGGACCAAUAGUUGUGGGCCAGGAGCGAGGCCCAUUGGUCCCGGUUCAUGCCACCAACCGGGACCAAAAGGUCCAAAUGAACCGGGACCAAUGGCCCACGUGGCCCGGCCAACCCCUGGGCUCACGAAUCGGGACCAAUGCUCCCAUUGGUCCCGUUUCUGGACUGAACCGGGACUAAUGGGGUCACCCGGCCUGGACCAAAGCCCCCUUUUCUACUAGUGCAUGUUCUUGAUCGUCGCUCGACGCAGUCACAGUGCUCACCCAACGAUCUUGAACCUUGCUCUAGAUACCAAUUAUUGGAAUAGCCUUGCCUUUGAGACCAACCUUCCGCUGCGCAUACACGUACGGAGUUGUACCAAGCCCCUGGAUCGACUCCCUCCGGCCGGAACACACGCCUAUAUGUACGAAGUCGCCGGCUAGAAACUCACGUGAGAACACAAGGCACAACACUCGAUUAUAGCAACAGGGGCGAGUUGCUCCGGAUCCUUUAUUUCUCUUUUUCUGGUACUCUUUACAACGUAUAUGACCACAUAUAUAUGGGGCCAAACCGACCUGAAGCUAGCUUACCUAGCAAUCCAAAACUGAUUCAAACUAGGACUCCUAGUACUUGACGCUCAGGUUGGCAUGCAUGCCACGUCUCCAACUCUAAUACGUAGUUUGGAUUAAUCUCUAACAAUCUCUCCCUAAUCCAAACUUACCACAUCUACGACUCAGACUAAACAUGUCAUGUCUGUACACUGAGUAUGACCCGCCUGGAAACAUGCAGCGCCUUCUUGCUCUACAAUGUUGUGCCACCGCCAUUGCUUGGCUGCUGCCUUGCACUCGGUCCGCACCAUACUCCUUGUACUUGCUUGCAGUAGAUCCACCCUCCACCGGUCGCACACAUUCUCGCUUUACGAUGGCUUCGCCUACCACCGUCCGCCUUCGGCAUCACACCGAAUCCACACUGGCCGCAACCAGGACGCUCCACGAGGACAUGGACAUGACUCACGGAACACCGUGCACACCGCUUCAACCUGUGAUUCCUUUGACAAGACGACAGAAAACACAACGACUUUUUUUCUUUUUUUUCUUUUUUUCUUUUUCUUUCUCUUUUUUCUUUUUAUUUAGAUGUAACUUUUCGAGUAGAUGAUUUUUCAUAUAAAAAACUUUUUCAUCCGAGUUAGUAUGCAAAAGUUAUGCCCAUUUUUACAAAUUUCAGAGAGAUUUUGCAAAUAAAGUCAAAAUUCACAUUUGCAAAUUUUCCCAACAACUAGACCACAUAUCACAUGGGAAACUUAUUUUCUUUUAUUUUUUUGACAUUUCCAUCGUUUUCUUUUAUUUUUUUAAAAACUGAAAAGGUGAUUUAGGGGGGUAGAGUUUGAAAAUGGGACCUUUAGUACCGGUUCGUGGCACGAACCGGGACUAAAGGUCUCAUGCCCAUUAGUCCUGGUUCAUGCCUCAAACUGGGACUAAAGGUCUAAUCUUUGGUCCCGGUUUGAGGCACGAACCGGGACCAAUAGUUGUGGGCCAGGAGCGAGGCCCAUUGGUCCCGGUUCAUCCCACCAACCGGGACCAAAAGAUCCAGAUGAACCGGGACCAAUGGCCCACGUGGCCCGGCCGACCCCUGGGCUCACGAAUCGGGACCAAUGCUCCCAUUGGUCCCGGUUCUGGACUGAACCGGGACUAAUGGGGUCACCCGGCCUGGACCAAAGCCCCCUUUUCUACUAGUGCAUGUUCUUGAUCGUCGCUCGACGCAGUCACAGUGCUCACCCAACGAUCUUGAACCUUGCUCUAGAUACCAAUUAUUGGAAUAGCCUUGCCUUUGAGACCAGCCUUCCGCCGCGCAUACACGUACGAAGUUGUACCAAGCCCCUCGAUCGACUCCCUCCAGCCGGAACACACGCCUAUAUGUACGAAGUCGCCGGCUAGAAACUCACGCGAGAACACAAGGCACCAGACUCGAUUAUAGCAACAGGGGCGAGUUGCUCCUGAUCCUUUAUUUCUCUUUUUCUGGUACUCUUUACAACGUAUAUGACCACAUAUAUAUGGGGCCAAACCGACCUGAAGCUAGCUAACCUAGCAAUCCAAAACUGAUUCAAACUAGGACUCCUAGUACUUGACGCUCACGUUGGCAUGCAAGCCACGUCUCCAUCUCUAAUACGUAGUUUGGAUUAAUCUCUAACAAUCUCUCCCUAAUCCAAACUUACCACGUCUACGACUCAGACUAAACAUGUCAUGUCUGUACGCUGAGUAUGACCCGCCUGGAAACAUGCAGCGCCUCCUUGCUCUACAAUGUUGUGCCACCGCCAUUGCUUGGCCGCUGCCUUGCACUCGGUCCGCACCAUACUCCUUGUACUUGCUUGCAGUAGAUCCACCCUCCACCGGUCGCACACAUCCUCGCUUUACGAUGGCUUCGCCUACCACCGUCCGCCUUCGGCAUCACACCGAAUCCACACUAGCCGCAACCAGGACGCUCCACGAGGACAUGGACAUGACUCACGGAACACUGUGCACACCGCUUCAACCUGUGACUCCUUUGACAAGACGACAGAAAACACAACGACUUUUUUUCUUUUUUUUCUUUUUUUCUUUUUUUCUUUUUCUUUCUCUUUUUUCUUUUUCUUUAGAUGUAACUUUUCGAGUAGAUGAUUUUUCAUAUAAAAAAUUUUUUCAUCCGAGUUAGUAUGCAAAAGUUAUGCCCAUUUUUACAAAUUUCAGAGAGAUUUUGCAAAUAAAGUCAAAAUUCACAUUUGCAAAUUUUCCCAACAAGUAGACCACAUAUCACAUGGGAAACUUAUUUUCUUUUAUUUUUUUGACAUUUCCGUCAUUUUCUUUUAUUUUUUUUUAAACUGAANNNNNNNNNNNNNNNNNNNNNNNNNNNNNNNNNNNNNNNNNNNNNNNNNNNNNNNNNNNNNNNNNNNNNNNNNNNNNNNNNNNNNNNNNNNNNNNNNNNNNNNNNNNNNNNNNNNNNNNNNNNNNNNNNNNNNNNNNNNNNNNNNNNNNNNNNNNNNNNNNNNNNNNNNNNNNNNNNNNNNNNNNNNNNNNNNNNNNNNNNNNNNNNNNNNNNNNNNNNNNNNNNNNNNNNNNNNNNNNNNNNNNNNNNNNNNNNNNNNNNNNNNNNNNNNNNNNNNNNNNNNNNNNNNNNNNNNNNNNNNNNNNNNNNNNNNNNNNNNNNNNNNNNNNNNNNNNNNNNNNNNNNNNNNNNNNNNNNNNNNNAAAGGUCUAAUCUUUAGUCCCGGUUUGAGGCACGAACCGGGACCAAUAGUUGUGGGCCAGGAGCGAGGCCCAUUGGUCCCGGUUCAUCCCACCAACCAGGACCAAAAGGUCCAGAUGAAUCGGGACCAAUGGCCCACGUGGCCCGGCCGGCCCCCUGGGCUCACGAACCGGGACCAAUGCUCCCAUUGGUCCCGGUUCUGGACUGAACCGGGACUAAUGGGAUCACCCGGCCUGGACCAAAGCCCAUUUUCUACUAGUGCAUGUUCUUGAUCGUCGCUCGACGCAGUCAAAGUGAUCACCCAACGAUCUUGAACCUCGCUCUAGAUACCAAUUGUUGGAAUAGCCUUGCCUUUGAGACCAGCCUUCCGAUGCGCAUACACGUACGAAGCUGUACCAAGCCCCUGGAUCGACUCCCUCCGGCCGGAACACAUGCGUAUACGUACGAAGUCGCCGGCUAGAAACUCACGCGAGAACACAAGGCACCAGACUCGAUUAUAGCAACAGGGGCGUGUCGCUCCUGAUCCAUUAUUUCUCUUUUCCUGGUACUCUUUACAACGUAUAUGACCACAUAUAUAUAUAUAUGGGGCCAAACCGACCUGAAGCUAGCUAACCUAGCAAUCCAAAACUGAUUCAAACUAGGACUCCUAGUACUUGACGCUCACGUUGGCAUGCAAGCCACGUCUCCAACUCUAAUACGUGGUUUGGAUUAAUCUCUAACAAUCUCUCCCUAAUCCAAACUUACCACAUCUACGACUCAGACUAAACAUGUCAUGUCUGUACGCUGAGUAUGACACGCCUGGAAACAUGCAGCGCCUCCUUGCUCUACAAUGUUGUGCCACCGCCAUUGCUUGGCCGCUGCCUUGCACUCGGUCCGCACCAUACUCCUUGUACUUGCUUGAAGUAGAUCCACCCUCCACCGGUCGCACACAUCCUCGCUUUACGAUGGCUUCGCCUACCACCGUCCGCCUUCGGCAUCACACCGAAUCCACACUGGCCGCAACUAGGACGCUCCACGAGGACAUGGACAUGACUCACGGAACACCGUGCACACCGCUUCAACCUGUGACUCCUUUGACAAGACGAAAGAAAACACAACGACUUUUUUUCUUUUUUUCUUUUUUCCUUUUUUUUCUUUUUUUCUUUUUCUUUCUCUUUUUUCUUUUUGUUUAGAUGUAACUUUUCGAGUAGAUGAUUUUUCAUAUAAAAAACUUUUUCAUCCGAGUUACUAUGCAAAAGCUAUGCCCGUGUUUACAAAUUUCAGAGAGAUUUUGCAAAUAAAGUCAAAAUUCACAUUUGCAAAUUUUCCCAACAACUAGACCACAUAUCACAUGGGAAACUUAUUUUUUUUAUUUUUUGACAUUUCCAUCAUUUUCUUUUAUUUUUUUAAAAACUGAAAAGGCGAUCCACAGGAGGGGGGUAGAGUUUGAAAAUGGGACCUUUAGUACCGGUUCGUGGCACGAACCGGGACUAAAGGUCUCAUCCCCAUUAGUCCCGGUUCGUGUCUCAAACCGGGACUAAAGGUCUAAUCUUUAGUCCCGGUUUGAGGCACGAACCGGGACCAAUAGUUGUGGGCCAGGAGCGAGGCCCAUUGUUCCCAGUUCAGCCCACCAACCGGGACCAAAAGGUCCAAAUGAACCGGGACCAAUGGCCCACAUGCCCCGGCCGGCCCCCUGGGCUCACGAACCGGGACCAAUGCUCCUAUUGGUCCCGGUUCUGGACUGAACCGGGACUAAUGGGGUCACCCGGCCUGGACCAAAGCCCCCUUUUCUACUAGUGCAUGUUCUUGAUCGUCGCUCGACGCAGUCAGAGCGCUCACCCAACGAUCUUGAACCUUGCUCUAGAUACCAAUUGUUGGAAUAGCCUUGCCUUUGAGACCAGCCUUCCGAUGUGCAUACACGUAGGAAGCUGUACCAAGCCCCUGGAUCGACUCCCUCCGGCCGGAACACACGCGUAUACGUAUGAAGUCGCCGGCUAGAAACUCACGCGAGAACACAAGGCACUAGACUCGAUUAUAGCAACAGGGGCGUGCCGCUCCUGAUCCUUUAUUUCUCUUUUUCUGGUACUCUUUACAACGUAUAUGACCACAUAUAUAUAUAUAUAUAUUAUAUAUAUAUAUAUAUAUAUAUAUAUUGGGCCAAACCGACCUGAAGCUAGCUAACCUAGCAAUCCAAAACUGAUUCAAACUAGGACUCCUAGUACUUGACGCUCACGUUGGCAUGCAAGCCAUGUCUCCAACUCUAAUACGUAGUUUGGAUUAAUCUCUAACAAUCUCUCCCUAUUCCAAACUUACCACAUCUACGACUCAGACUAAACAUGUCAUGUCUGUACGCUGAGUAUGACCCGCCUGGAAACAUGCAGCGCCUCCUUGCUCUACAAUGUUGUGCCACCGCCAUUGCUUGGCCGCUGCCUUGCACUCGGUCCGCACCAUACUCCUUGUACUUGCUUGCAGUAGAUCCACCCUCCACCGGUCGCACACAUCCUCGCUUUACGAUGGCUUCGCCUACCACCGUCCGCCUUCGGCAUCACACCGAAUCCACACUGGCCGCAACUAGGACGCUCCACGAGGACAUGGACAUGACUCACGGAACACCGUGCACACCGCUUCAACCUAUGACUCCUUUGACAAGACGACAGAAAACACAACGACUUUUUUCUUUUUUUAUUUUUUUUCUUUUUUUUCUUUUUUCUUUUUCUUUCUCUUUUUUCUUUUUCUUUAGAACAAUCUCGGACCAUCCUCAUCAUCCUGGAUGAGAUUGCAAUCCGCCAGAUUUUUCUUCUUACCCCUCUUCUUUUCCGAACACUCAUAAGCAUGAUGUCCUAGGUCUUGGCAAUUGAAGCACUUGUCCUUGGAUUUAUCAUGACGACGCUCUCUUGCUCUCCACACUGAUCUUGUCAACAAAAGUUGUUCACCGUCUUGGUCAUCCUCGACAUAGCUGCGCAAUCGUUCCUCUUGAACCUUCAACCUCCCCAUGACUUCCUCCAUAGUCAUCGUCUUGAAAUCGCCAAACUGCUCUAUGGCAGAUGCAAUCUGGAGAAACUUUGGCGGGACAGCUCGAAGGAUUUUCUUAACGGCGGUUGUCUCCUCGAACUUUUCUCCAAGCCCUUGUAUCACAUUGACGAUGGUUGUCAUCCGGAGAGCAAAGUCAUCGAUUGUUUCCGUGUCCUUCAUCUUGAGCCUCUCGAACUCAGACUUGAGGGUUUGCAACCUCGCCUCCUUGAUGCGAUCGUCCCCAAGACGAUUCGUCUUUAUCGCCUCCCAAGCUUCAUGUGAUGUCGUCUUCUAACCAAUGAAGGCGAACACAUCAUCCGGGAUACUUUGAUAGAUAGCCGUCAACCCCUUCUGAUCCAUCGUUGCGUCCACCUUGCCGGAGACGGCCACCACCGCAUCCCAAACUCCUUGUGCGCGCAUCAACGCCUUCAUCUUGAUCGCCCAAAUCGACUAGUUGCUCUUCGCCAGCAUCGGGUAUUGGACAAACACGCUUCCUCCUUUUUCAGCCAUGUUCUUGAUCGUCGCUCGACGCAGUCACAACACUCACCCAACGAUCUUGAACCUUGCUCUAGAUACCAAUUGUUGGAAUAGCCUUGCCUUUGAGACAAGCCUUCCGCUGCGCAUACACGUACGAAGCUGUACUAAGCCCCUGGAUCGACUCCCUCCGGCCGGAACACACGCGUAUACGUACGAAGUCACCGGCUAGAAACUCACGCGAGAACACAAGGCACCAGACUCGAUUAUAGCAACAGGGGCGUGUCGCUCCUGAUCCUUUAUUUCUCUUUUUCUGGUACUCUUUACAACGUAUAUGACCACAUAUAUAUAUGGGGCCAAACCAACCUGAAGCUAGCUAACCUAGCAAUCCAAAACUGAUUCAAACUAGGACUCCUAGUACUUGACGCUCACGUUGGCAUGCAAGCCACGUCUCCAACUCUAAUACAUGGUUUGGAUUAAUCUCUAACAAUCUCUCCCUAAUCCAAACUUACCACAUCUACGACUCAGACUAAACAUGUCAUGUCUGUACUCUGAGUAUGACCCGCCUGGAAACAUGCACCGCCUCCUUGCUCUACAAUGUUGUGCUACCGCCAUUGCUUGGCCGCUACCUUGCACUCGGUCCGCACCAUACUCCUUGUACUUGCUUGCAGUAGAUCCACCCUCCACCGGUCGCACACAUCCUUGCUUUACGAUGGCUUCGCCUACCACCGUCCGCCUUCGGCAUCACACCGAAUCCACACUGGCCGCAACUAGGACGCUCCACGAGGACAUGGACAUGACUCACGGAACACCGUGCACACCGCUUCAACCUGUGACUCCUUUGACAAGACGAAAGAAAACACAACGACUUUUUUUCUUUUUUUUCUUUUUUCCUUUUUUUCUUUUUUUUCUUUUUCUUUUUCUUUAGAUGUAACUUUUCGAGUAGAUGAUUUUUCAUAUAAAAAACUUUUUCAUCCGAGUUAGUAUGCAAAACUUAUGCCCAUUUUUACAAAUUUCAGAGAGAUUUUGCAAAUAAAGUCAAAUUUCACAUUUGCAAAUUUUCCCAACAACUAGACCACAUAUCACAUGGGAAACUUAUUUUCUUUUAUUUUUUUGACAUUUCCAUCAUUUUCUUUUAUUUUUUUUAAAACUGAAAAGGCGAUCCACAGGGGGGGUAGAGUUUGAAAAUGGGACCUUUAGUACCGGUUCGUGGCACGAACCGGGACUAAAGGUCUCAUCCCCAUUAGUCCCGGUUCGUGCCUCAAACCGGGACUAAAGGUCUAAUCUUUAGUCCCGGUUUGAGGCACGAACCGGGACCAAUAGUUGUGGGCUAGGAGCGAGGCCCAUUGGUCCCGGUUCAUCCCACCAACCGGGACCAAAAGGUCCAGAUGAACCGGGACCAAUGGCCCACGUGGCCCGGCCGGCCCCCUGGGCUCACGAACCGGGACCAAUGCUCCCAUUGGUCCCGGUUCUGGACUGAUCCGGGACUAAUGGGGUCACCCGGCCUGGACCAAAGCCCACUUUUCUACUAGUGCAUGUUCUUGAUCGUUGCUCGACGCAGUCAUAGCGCUCACCCAACGAUCUUGAACCUUGCUCUAGAUACCAAUUGUUGGAAUAGCCUUGCCUUUGAGACCAGCCUUCCGAUGCGCAUACACGUACGAAGCUGUACCAAGCCCCUCGAUCGACUCCCUCCGACCGGAACACACGCGUAUACAUACGAAGUCGCCGGCUAGAAACUCACGCGAGAACACAAGGCACCAGACUCGAUUAUAGCAACAGGGGCGUGUCGCUCCUGAUCCUUUAUUUCUCUUUUUCUGGUACUCUUUACAACGUAUAUGACCACAUAUAUAUAUGGGGCCAAACCGGCCUGAAGCUAGCUAACCUAGCAAUCCAAAACUGAUUCAAACUAGGACUCCUAGUACUUGACGCUCACGUUGGCAUGCAAGCCACGUCUCCAACUCUAAUACGUAGUUUGGAUUAAUCUCUAACAAUCUCUCCCUAAUCCAAACUUACCACAUCUACGACUCAGACUAAACAUGUCAUGUCUGUACGCUAAGUAUGACCCUCCUGGAAACAUGCAGCGCCUCCUUGCUCUACAAUGUUGUGCCACCGCCAUUGCUUGGCCGCUGCCUUGCACUCGGUCCGCACCAUACUCCUUGUACUUGCUUGUAGUAGAUCCACCCUCCACCGGUCGCACACAUCCUCGCUUUACGAUGGCUUCGCCUACCACCGUCCACCUUUGGCAUCACACCGAAUCCACACUGGCCACAACCAGGACGCUCCACGAGGACAUGGACAUGACUCACGGAACACCGUGCACACCGCUUCAACCUGUGACUCCUUUGACAAGACGACAGAAAUCACAACGACUUUUUUUCUUUUUUCCUUUUUUUCUUUUUGUUUCUCUUUUUUCUUUUUCUUUAGAUGUAACUUUUCGAGUAGAUGAUUUUUCAUAUAAAAAACUUUUUCAUCCGAGUUACUAUGCAAAAGCUAUGCCCAUUUUUACAAAUUUCAGAGAGAUUUUGCAAAUAAAGUCAAAAUUCACAUUUGCAAAUUUUCCCAACAACUAGACCACAUAUCACAUGGGAAACUUAUUUUUUUUAUUUUUUUGACAUUUCAAUCAUUUUCUUUUAUUUUUUAAAAAACUAAAAGGCGAUCCAUGGGGGGGGGGUAGAGUUUGAAAAUGGGACCUUUAGUACCGGUUCGUGGCACGAACCGGGACUAAAGGUCUCAUGCCCAUUAGUCCUGGUUCAUGCCUCAAACCGGGACUAAAGGUCUAAUCUUUAGUCCCGAUUUGAGGCACGAACCGGGACCAAUAGUUGUGGGCCAGGAGCGAGGCCCAUUGGUCCCGGUUCAUCCCACCAACCGGGACCAAAUGGUCCAAAUGAACCGGGACCAAUGGCCCAUGUGGCCUGGCCGGCCCCCUGGGCUCAUGAACCGGGACCAAUGCUCCCAUUGGUCCCGGUUCUGGACUGAACCGGGACUAAUGGGGUCACCCGGCCUGGACCAAAGCACCCUUUUCUACUAGUGCAUGUUCUUGAUCGUCGCUCGAUGCAGUCACAGCGAUCACCCAACGAUCUUGAACCUUGCUCUAGAUACCAAUUGUUGGAAUAGCCUUGCCUUUGAGACCAGCCUUCCGAUGCGCAUACACGUACGAAGCUGUACCAAGCCCCUGGAUCGACUCCCUCCGGCCGGAACACACGCGUAUACGUACGAAGUCGCCGGCUAGAAACUCUCGCGAGAACACAAGGCACCAGACUCGAUUAUAGCAACAGGGGCGUGUCGCUCCUGAUCCUUUAUUUCUCUUUUUCUGGUACUCUUUACAACGUAUAUGACCACAUAUAUAUAUGGGGCCAAACCGACCUGAAGCUAGCUAACCUAGCAAUCCAAAACUGAUUCAAACUAGGACUCCUAGUACUUGACACUCACGUUGGCAUGCAAGCCACGUCUCCAACUCUAAUAUGUAGUUUGGAUUAAUCUCUAACAAUCUCUCCCCAAUCCAAACUUACCACAUCUACGACUCACACUAAACAUGUCAUGUCUGUACGCUGAGUAUGACCCGCCUGGAAACAUGCAGCGCCUCCUUGCUCUACAAUGUUGUGCCACCGCCAUUGCUUGGCCGCUGCCUUGCACUCGGUCCGCACCAUACUCCUUGUACUUGCUUGCAGUAGAUCCACCCUCCACCGGUCGCACACAUCCUCGCUUUACGAUGGCUUCGCCUACCACCGUCCGCCUUCGGCAUCACACCGAAUCCACACUGGCCGCAACCAGGACGCUCCACGAGGACAUGGACAUGACUCAAGGAACACCGUGCACACCGCUUCAACCUGUGACUCCUUUGACAAGACGAAAGAAAACACAACGACUUUUUUUCUUUUUUUUCUUUUUUCCUUCUUUUCUUUUUUUAUUUUUCUUUCUCUUUUUUCUUUUUCUUUAGAUGUAACUUUUCGAGUAGAUGAUUUUUCAUAUAAAAAACUUUUUCAUCCGAGUUAGUAUGCAAAAGUUAUGCCCAUUUUUACAAAUUUUAGAGAGAUUUUGCAAAUAAUGUCAAAAUUCACAUUUGCAAAUUUUCCCAACAACUAGACCACAUAUCACAUGGGAAACUUAUUUUCUUUUAUUUUAUUGAAAUUUCCAUCAUUUUCUUUUAUUUUUUUUCUAAANNNNNNNNNNNNNNNNNNNNNNNNNNNNNNNNNNNNNNNNNNNNNNNNNNNNNNNNNNNNNNNNNNNNNNNNNNNNNNNNNNNNNNNNNNNNNNNNNNNNNNNNNNNNNNNNNNNNNNNNNNNNNNNNNNNNNNNNNNNNNNNNNNNNNNNNNNNNNNNNNNNNNNNNNNNNNNNNNNNNNNNNNNNNNNNNNNNNNNNNNNNNNNNNNNNNNNNNNNNNNNNNNNNNNNNNNNNNNNNNNNNNNNNNNNNNNNNNNNNNNNNNNNNNNNNNNNNNNNNNNNNNNNNNNNNNNNNNNNNNNNNNNNNNNNNNNNNNNNNNNNNNNNNNNNNNNNNNNNNNNNNNNNNNNCGUGCCUCAAACCGGAACUAAAGGUCUAAUCUUUAGUCCCGAUUUGAGGCACGAACCGGGACCAAUAGUUGUGGGCCAGGAGCGAGGCCCAUUGGUCCCGGUUCAUCCCACCAACCGGGACCAAAAGGUCCAGAUGAACCGGGACCAAUGGCCCACGUUGCCCGGCCGGCCCCCUGGGCUCACGAACCGGAACCAAUGCUCCCAUUGGUCCCGGUUCUGGACUGAACCGGGACUAAUGGGGUCACCCGGCCUGGACCAAAGCCCACUUUUCUACUAGUGCAUGUUCUUGAUCGUCGCUCGACGCAGUCAUAGCGCUCACCCAACGAUCUUGAACCUUGCUCUAGAUACCAAUUGUUGGAAUUGCCUUGCCUUUGAGACCAGCCUUCCGAUGCGCAUACACGUACGAAGUUGUACCAAGCCCCUGUAUCGACUCCCUUCGGCCGGAACACACGCGUAUACGUACGAAGUCGCCGGCUAGAAACUCAAGCGAAAACACAAGGCACCAGAGUCGAUUAUAGCAACAGGGGCGUGUCGCUCCUGAUCCUUUAUUUCUCUUUUUCUGGUACUCUUUACAACGUAUAUGACCACAUAUAUAUAUGGGGCCAAACCGACCUGGAGCUAGCUAACCUAGCAAUCCAAAACUGAUUCAAACUAGGACUCCUAGUACUUGACGCUCACGUUGGCAUGCAAGCCACGUCUCCAACUCUAAUACGUAGUUUGGAUUAAUCUCUAACAAUCUCUCCCCAAUCCAAACUUACCACAUCUACCACUCAGACUAAACAUGUCAUGUCUGUACGCUGAGUAUGACCCGCCUGGAAACAUGCAGCGCCUCCUUGCUCUACAAUGUUGUGCCACCGCCAUUGCUUGGCCGCUGCCUUGCACUCGGUCCGCACCAUACUCCUUGUACUUGCUUGUAGUAGAUCCACCCUCCACGGGUCGCACACAUCCUCGUUUUACGAUGGCUUCGCCUACCACCGUCCGCCUUCGGCAUCACACUGAAUCAACACUGGCCGCAACUAGGACGCUCCACGAGGACAUGGACAUGACUCACGGAACACCGUGCACACCGCUUCAACCUGUGACUCCUUUGACAAGACGACAGAAAACACAACGACUUUUUUUCUUUUUUUUCUUUUUUUUCUUUUUUCUUUUUCUUUCUCUUUUUUCUUUUUCUUUAGAUGUAACUUUUCGAGUAGAUGGUUUUUUAUAUAAAAAACUUUUUCAUCCGAGUUAGUAUGCAAAAGUUAUGCCCAUUUUUACAAAUUUCAGAGAGAUUUUGCAGAUAAAGUCAAAAUUCACAUUUGCAAAUUUUCCCAACAACUAGACCACAUAUCACAUGGGAAACUUAUUUUCUUUUAUUUUUUUGACAUUUCCAUCAUUUUCUUCUCUUCUUUUUAAAACUGAAAAGACGAUCCACGAGGGGGGGGGUAGAGUUUGAAAAUGGGAUCUUUAGUACCGGUUCGUGGCACGAACCGGGACUAAAGGUCUCAUCCCCAUUAGUCCCGGUUCGUGCCUCGAACCGGGACCAAUAGUUGUGGGCCAGGAGCGAGGCCCAUUGGUCCCGGUUCAUCCCACCAACCGGGACCAAAAGGUCCAGAUGAACCAGGACCAAUGGCCCACGUGGCCCGGCCGGCCCCCUGGGCUCACGAACCGGGACCAAUGCUCCCAUUGGUCCCGGUUCUGGACUGAACCGGGACUAAUGGGGUCACCCAGCCUGGAGCAAAGCCCACUUUUCUACUAGUGCAUGUUCUUGAUCGUCGCUCGACGCAGUCAUAGCGCUCACCCAACGAUCUUGAACCUUGCUCUAGAUACCAAUUGUUGGAAUAGCCUUGCCUUUGAGACCAGCCUUCCGAUGUGCAUACACGUACGAAGCUGUACCAAGCCCCUGGAUCGACUCCCUCCGGCCGGAACACACGCGUAUACGUAUGAAGUCGCCGGCUAGAAACUCACGCGAGAACACAAGGCACCAGACUCGAUUAUAGCAACAGGGGCGUGUCGCUCCUGCUCCUUUAUUUCUCUUUUUCUGGUACUCUUUACAACGUAUAUGACCACAUAUAUAUAUAUGGGGCCAAACCGACCUGAAGCUAGCUACCUAGCAAUCCAAAACUGAUUCAAACUAGGACUCCUAGUACUUGACGCUCACGUUGGCAUGCAAGCCAUGUCUCCAACUCUAAUACGUAGUUUGGAUUAAUCUCUAACAAUCUCUCCCUAAUCCAAACUUACCACAUCUACGACUCAGACUAAACAUGUCAUGUCUGUACGCUGAGUAUGACCCGCCUGGAAACAUGCAGCGCCUCCUUGCUCUACAAUGUUGUGCCACCGCCAUUGCUUGGCCGCUGCCUUCUACUCGGUCCGCACCAUACUCCUUUUACUUGCUUGCAGUAGAUCCACCCUCCACCGGUCGCACACAUCCUCGCUUUACGAUGGCUUCGCCUACCACCGUCCGCCUUCGGCAUCACACCGAAUCCACACUGGCCACAACUAGGACGCUCCACGAGGACAUGGACAUGACUCACGGAACACCGUGCACACCGCUUCAACCUAUGACUCCUUUGACAAGACGACAGAAAACACAACGACUUUUUUUCUUUUUUUUAUUUUUUUUCUUUUUUCUUUUUCUUUCUCUUUUUUCUUUUUCUUUAGAACAAUCUCGGACCAUCCUCAUCAUCCUGGAUGAGAUUGCAAUCCGCCAGAUUUUUCUUCUUACCCCUCUUCUUUUCCGGACACUCAUAAGCAUGAUGUCCUAGGUCUUGGCAAUUGAAGCACUUGUCCUUCGAUUUAUCAUGACGACGCUCUCUUGCUCUCCACUCCGAUCUUGUCAACAAAAGUUGUUCACCGUCUUGGUCAUCCUCGACAUAGCUGCGCAAUCGUUCCUCCUGAACCUUCAACCUCCCCAUGACUUCCUCCAUAGUCAUCGUCUUCAAAUCGCCAAACUACUCUAUGGCAGAUGCAAUCUGGAGAAACUUUGGUGGGACAGCUCGAAGGAUUUUCUUAACGGCGGUUGUCUCCUCGAACUUUUCUCCAAGCCCUUGUAUCACAUUGACGAUGGUUGUCAUCCGGAGAGCAAAGUCAUCGAUUGUUUCCGUGUCCUUCAUCUUGAGCCUCUCGAACUCAGACUUGAGGGUUUGCAACCUCGCCUCCUUGAUGCGAUCGUCCGCAAGACGAUUCGUCUUUAUCGCCUCCCAAGCUUCAUGUGAUGUCGUCUUCUCAGCAAUGAAGGCGAACACAUCAUCCGGGAUACUUUGAUAGAUAGCCGUCAACGCCUUCUGAUCCAUCGUGUCGUCCACCUUGCCGGAGACGGCCACCACCGCAUCCCGAACUCCUUGUGCGCGCAUCAACGCCUUCAUCUUGAUCGCCCAAAUCGACUAGUUGCUCUUCGCCAGCAUCGGGUAUUGGACAAACACGCUUCCUCCUUUUUCAGCCAUGUAUUUGAUCGUCGCUCGACGCAGUCACAGCACUCACCCAACGAUCUUGAACCUUGCUCUAGAUACCAAUUGUUGGAAUAGCCUUGCCUUUGAGACCAGCCUUCCGCUGCGCAUACACGUACGAAGAUGUACUAAGCCCCUGGAUCGACUCCCUCCGGUCGGAACACACGCGUAUACGUAUGAAGUCACCGGCUAGAAACUCACGCGAGAACACAAGGCACCAAACUCGAUUAUAGCAACAGGGGCGUGUCGCUCCUGAUCCUUUAUUUCUCUUUUUCUGGUACUCUUUACAACGUAUAUGACCACAUAUAUAUGGGGCCAAACCAACCUGAAGCUAGCUAACCUAGCAAUCCAAAACUGAUUCAAACUAGGACUCCUAGUACUUGACGCUCACGUUGGCAUGCAAGCCACGUCUCGAACUCUAAUACGUAGUUUGGAUUAAUCUCUAACAAUCUCUCCCUAAUCCAAACUUACCACAUCUACGACUCAGACUAAACAUGUCAUGUCUGUACGCUGAGUAUGACCCUCCUGGAAACAUGCAGCGCCUCCUUGCUCUACAAUGUUGUGCCACCGCCAUUGCUUGGCCGCUGCCUUGCACUCGGUCCGCACCAUACUCCUUGUACUUGCUUGUAGUAGAUCCACCCUCCACCGGUCGCAUACAUCCUCGCUUUACGAUGGCUUCGCCUACCAUCGUCCGCCUUCGGCAUCACACCGAAUCCACACUGGCCACAACCAGGACGCUCCACAAGGACAUGGACAUGACUCACGGAACACCGUGCACACCGCUUCAACCUGUGACUCCUUUGACAAGACGACAGAAAUCACAACGAAUUUUUUUUCUUUUUUUCUUUUUUUCUUUUUCUUUCUCUUUUUUCUUUUUUUUAGAUGUAACUUUUCGAGUAGAUGAUUUUUCAUAUAAAAAACUUUUUCAUCCGAGUUAGUAUGCAAAAGUUAUGCCCAUUUUUACAAAUUUCAGAGAGAUUUUGCAAAUAAAGUCAAAAUUCACAUUUUUAAAUUUUCCCAACAACUAGACCACAUAUCACAUGGGAAACUUAUUUUCUUUCAUUUUUUUGACAUUUCCAUCAUUUUCUUUUAUUUUUUUUAAAAACUGAAAAGGCGAUCCAGGGGGGUAGAGUUUGAAAAUGGGACCUUUAGUACCGGUUCGUGACACGAACCGGGACUAAAGGUCUCAUCCCCAUUAGUCCCGGUUCGUGCCUCAAACCGGGACUAAAAGUCUAAUCUUUAGUCCCGGUUUGUGGCACGAACCGGGACCAAUAGUAGUGGGCCAGGAGCGAGGCCCAUUGGUCCCGGUUCAUCCCACCAACCGGGACCAAAAGGUCCAGAUGAACCGGGACCAAUGGCCCACGUGGCCCGGCCGGCCCCCUGGGCUCACGAACCGGGACCAAUGGGAGCAUUGAUCCUGAUUCUGGACUGAACCGGGACUAAUGGGGUCAUCCGGCUUGGACCAAAGCCCCCUUUUCUACUAGUGCAUGUUCUUGAUCGUCGCUCGACGCAGUCACAGCGCUCACCCAACGAUCUUGAACCUUGCUCUAGAUACCAAUUGUUGGAAUAGCCUUGCCUUUGAGACCAGCCUUCCGAUGCGCAUACACGUACGAAGCUGUACCAAGCCCCUGGAUCGACUCCCUCCGGCCGGAACACACGCGUAUACGUACGAAGUCGCCGGCUAGAAACUCACGCGAGAACACAAGGCACCAGACUCGAUUAUAGCAACAGGGGCGUGUCGCUCCUGAUCCUUUAUUUCUCUUUUUCUAGUACUCUUUACAACGUAUAUGACCACAUAUAUAUAUGGGGCCAAACCGACCUGAAGCUAGCUAACCUAGCAAUCCAAAACUGAUUCAAACUAGGACUCCUAGUACUUGACGCUCACCUUGGCAUGCAAGCCAUGUCUCCAACUCUAAUACGUAGUUUGGAUUAAUCUCUAACAAUCUCUCCCCAAUCCAAACUUACCACAUCUACGACUCAGACUAAACAUGUCAUGUCUGUACCUGAGUAUGACCCGCCUGGAAACAUGCAGCGCCUCCUUGCUCUACAAUGUUGUGCCACCGCCAUUGCUUGGCCGCUGCCUUGCACUCGGUCCGCAACAUACUCCUUGUACUUGCUUGCAGUAGAUCCACCCUCCACCGGUCGCACACAUCCUCGCUUUACGAUGGCUUCGCCUACCACCGUCCGCCUUCGGCAUCACACCGAAUCCACACUGGCCGAAACCAGGACGCUCCACGAGGACAUGGACAUGACUCACGAAACACCGUGCACACCGCUUCAACGUGUGACUCCUUUGACAAGACGAAAGAAAACACAAUGACCUUUUUUCUUUUUUUUCUUUUUUUCUUUUUUUCUUUUUUUCUUUUUUUCUUUUUCUUUCUCUUUUUUCUUUUUCUUUAGAUGUAAAUUUUCGAGUAGAUGAUUUUUCAUAUAAAAAACUUUUUCAUCCGAGUUAGUAUGCAAAAGUUAUGCCCAUUUUUACAAAUUUCAGAGUGAUUUUGCAAAUAAAGUCAAAAUUCACAUUUGCAAAUUUUCCCAACAACUAGACCACAUAUCACAUGGGAAACUUAUUUUCUUUUAUUUUUUUGACAUUUCCAUCAUUUUCUUUUAUUUUUUUAAAAACUGAAAAGGCGAUCCACAGGGGGGGUAGAGUUUGAAAAUGGGACCUUCAGUACCGGUUCGUGGCACGAACUGGGACUAAAGGUCUCAUCCCCAUUAGUCCCGGUUCGUGCCUCAAACCGGGACUAAAGGUCUAAUCUUUAGUCCCGGUUUGAGGCACGAACCGGGACCAAUAGUUGUGGGCCAGGAGCGAGGCCCAUUGCUCCCGGUUCAUCCCACCAACCGGGACCAAAAGGUCCAGAUGAACCGGGACCAAUGGCCCGCGUGGCCCGGCCGGACCCCUGGGCUCACGAACCGGGACCAAUGCUCCCAUUGGUCCCGGUUCUGGACUGAACCGGGACUAAUGGGGUCAACCGGCCUGGACCAAAGCCCACUUUUCUACUAGUGCAUGUUCUUGAUCGUCGCUCGACGUAGUCAUAGCGCUCACCCAACGAUCUUGAACCUUGCUCUAGAUAUCAAUUGUUGGAAUAGCCUUGCCUUUGAGACUAGCCUUCCGAUGCGCAUACACGUACGAAGCUGUACCAAGCCCCUGUAUCAACUCCCUCCGGCCGGAACACACGCGUAUACGUACGAAGUCGCCGGCUAGAAACUCACGCGAGAACACAAGGCACCAGACUCGAUUAUAGCAACAGGGGCGUGUCGCUCCUGAUCCUUUAUUUCUCUUUUUCUGGUACUCUUUACAUCGUAUAUGACCACAUAUAUAUAUGGGGCCAAACCGACCUCCUUUAUUUCUCUUUUUCUGGUACUCUUUACAUCGUAUAUGACCACAUAUAUAUAUGGGGCCAAACCGACCUGAAGCUAGCUAACCUAGCAAUCCAAAACUGAUUCAAACUAGGACUCCUAGUACUUGACGCUCACGUUGGCAUGCAAGCCACGUCUCCAACUCUAAUACGUAGUUUGGAUUAAUCUCUAACAAUCUCUCCCCAAGCCAAACUUACCACAUCUACAACUCAGACUAAACAUGUCAUGUCUGUACGCUGAGUAUGACCCGCCUGGAAACAUGCAGCGCCUCCUUGCUCUACAAUGUUGUGCCACCGCCAUUGCUUGGCCACUGCCUUGCACUCGGUCCGCACCAUACUCCUUGUACUUGCUUGCAGUAGAUCCACCCUCCACCGGUUGCACACAUCCUCGCUUUACGAUGGCUUCGCCUACCACCGUCCGCCUUCGGCAUCACACCAAAUCCACACUGGCCGCAACCAGGACGCUCCACGAGGAAAUGGACAUGACUCACGAAACACCGUGCACACCGCUUCAACCUGUGCCUCCUUUGACAAGACGAAAGAAAACACAACGACUUUUUUUCUUUUUUUUCUUUUUUCCUUUUUUUCUUUUUUUCUUUUCCUUUCUCCUUUUUCUUUUUCUUUAGAUGUAACUUUUCGAGUAGAUGAUUUUUCAUAUAAAAAACUUUUUCAUCCGAGUUAGUAUGCAAAAGUUAUGCCCAUUUUUACAAAUUUCAGAGAGAUUUUGCAAAUAAAGUCAAAAUUCACAUUUGCAAAUUUUCCCAACAACUAGACCACAUGUCACAUGGGAAACUUAUUUUCUUUUAUUUUUUUGACAUUUCCAUCAUUUUCUUUUAUUUUUUUUAAAACUGAAAAGGCGAUCCAGGGGGGUAGAGUUUGAAAAUGGGAUCUUUAGUACCGGUUCGUGGCACGAACCGGGACUAAAGGUCUCAUCCCCAUUAGUCCCGGUUCGUGCCUCAAACCGGGACUAAAGGUCUAAUCUUUAGUCCCGGUUUGAGGCACGAACCGGGACCAAUAGUUGUGGGCCAGGAGCGAGGCCCAUUGGUCCCGGUUCAUCCCACCAACUGGAACCAAAAGGUCCAGAUGAACUGGGACCAAUGGCCCACGUGGCCCGGCCGGCCCCCUGGGCUCACGAACCGGGACCAAUGCUCCCAUUGGUCCCGGUUCUGGACUUAACCGGGACUAAUGGGGUCACCCGGCCUGGACCAAAGCCCACUUUUCUACUAGUGCAUGUUCUUGAUCGUCGCUCGACGCAGUCAUAGCGCUCACCCAACAAUCUUGAACCUUGCUCUAGAUACCAAUUGUUGGAAUAGCCUUGCCUUUGAGACCAGCCUUCCGAUGCGCAUACACGUACGAAGCUGUACCAAACCCCUGGAUCGAUUCCCUCCCGCCGGAACACACGCGUAUACGUACGAAGUCGCCGGCUAGAAACUCACGCGAGAACACAAGGCACCAGACUCGAUUAUAGCAACAGGGGCGUGUCGCUCAUGAUCCUUUAUUUCGCUUUUUCUGGUACUCUUUACAACGUAUAUGACCACAUAUAUAUAUAUAUGGGGCCAAACCGACCUGAAGCUAGCUAACCUAGCAGUCCAAAACUGAUUCAAACUAGGACUCCUAGUACUUGACGCUCAAGUUGGCAUGCAAGCCACGUCUCCAACUCUAAUACGUAGUUUGGAUUAAUCUCUAACAAUCUCUCCCUAAUCCAAACUUACCACAUCUACGACUCAGACUAAACAUGUCAUGUCUGUACGCUGAGUAUGACCCGCCUGGAAACAUGCAACGCCUCCUUGCUCUACAAUGUUGUGCCACCGCCAUUGCUUGGCCGCUGCCUUGCACUCGGUCCGCAUCAUACUCCUUGUACUUGCUUGCAGUAGAUCCACCCUCCACCGGUCGCACACAUCCUCGCUUUACGAUGGCUUCGCCUACCACCGUCCGCCUUCGGCAUCACACCGAAUCCACACUGGCCGCAACUAGGACGCUCCACGAGGACAUGGACAUGACUCACGGAGCACCGUGCACACCGCUUCAACCUGUGACUCCUUUGACAAGACGACAGAAAACACAACGACUUUUUUUCUUUUUUUUCCUUUUUUUUCUUUUUUUUCUUUUUUCUUUUUCUUUCUCUUUUUUCUUUUUCUUUAGAACAAUCUCGGACCAUCCUCAUCAUCCUGGAUGAGAUUGCAAUCCGCCAGAUUUUUCUUCUUACCCCUCUUCUUUUCCGGACACUCAUAAGCAUGAUGUCCUAGGUCUUGGCAAUUGAAGCACUUGUCCUUGGAUUUAUCAUGACGACGCUCUCUUGCUCUCCACUCCGAUCUUGUCAACAAAAGUUGUUCACCGUCUUGGUCAUCCUCGACAUAGCUGCGCAAUCGUUCCUCAUGAACCUUCAACCUCCCCAUGACUUCCUCCAUAGUCAUCGUCUUGAAAUCGCCAAACUGCUCUAUGGCAUAUGCAACCUGGAGAAACUUUGGCGGGACAGCUCGAAGGAUUUUCUUAACGGCGGUUGUCUCCUCGAACUUUUCUCCAAGCCCUCGUAUCCCAUUGACGAUGGUUGUCAUCCGGAGAGCAAAGUCAUCGAUUGUUUCCGUGUCCUUCAUCUUGAGCCUCUCGAACUCAGACUUGAGGGUUUGCAACCUCGCCUCCUUGAUGCGAUCGUCCCCAAGAUGAUUCGUCUUUAUCGCCUCCCAAGCUUCAUGUGAUGUCGUCUUCUCAGCAAUAAAGGCGAACACAUCAUCCGGGAUACUUUGAUAGAUAGCCGUCAACGCCUUCUGAUCCAUCGUGUCAUCCACCUUGCCGGAGACGGCCACCACCGCAUCCCAAACUCCUUGUGCGCGCAUCAACGCCUUCAUCUUGAUCGCCCAAAUCGACUAGUUGCUCUUCGUCAGCAUCAGGUAUUGGACAAACACGCUUCCUCCUUUUUCAGCCAUGUUCUUGAUCGUCGCUCGACGCAGUCACAGCGCUCACCCAACGAUCUUGAACCUUGCUCUAGAUACCAAUUGUUGGAAUAGCCUUGCCUUUGAGACCAGCCUUCCGCUGCGCAUACACGUACGAAGCUGUACCAAGCCCCUGGAUCGACUCCCUCCGGCCGGAACACACGCGUAUACGUACGAAGUCGCCGGCUAGAAACUCACGCGAGAACACAAGGCACCAGACUCGAUUAUAGCAACAGGGGCGUGUCGCUCCUGAUUCUUUAUUUCUCUUUUUCUGGUACUCUACAACGUAUAUGACCACAUAUAUAUAUGGGGCCAAACCGACCUGAAGCUUGCUAACCUAGCAAUCCAAAACUGAUUCAAACUAGGACUCCUAGUACUUGACGCUCACGUUGGCAUGCAAGCCACGUCUCCAACUCUAAUACGUAGUUUGGAUUAAUCUCUAACAAUCUGUCCCUAAUCCAAACUUACCACAUCUACGACUCAGACUAAACAUGUCAUGUCUGUACGCUGAGUAUGACCCGCCUGGAAACAUGCAGCGCCUCCUUGCUCUACAAUGUUUUGCCAUCGCCAUUGCUUGGCCGCUGCCUUGCACUCGAUCCGCACCAUACUCCUUGUACUUGCUUGCAGUAGAUUCACCCUCCACCGGUCGCACACAUCCUCGCUUUACGAUGGCUUCGCCUACCACCGUCCGCUUUCGGCAUCACACCGAAUCCACACUGGCCGCAACCAGGAUGCUCCACGAGGACAUGGACAUGACUCACGGAACACCGUGCACACCGCUUCAACCUGUGACUCCUUUGACAAGACGACAGAAAACACAACGAAUUUUUUUCUUUUUUUUCUUUUUUUUCUUUUUUCUUUUUCUUUCUCUUUUUUCUUUUUCUUUAGAACAAUCUCGGACCAUCCUCAUCAUCCUGGAUGAGAUUGCAAUCCGCCAGAUUUUUCUUCUUACCCCUCUUCUUUUCCGGACACUCAUAAGCAUGAUGUCCUAAGUCUUGGCAAUUGAAGCACUUGUCCUUGGAUUUAUCAUGACGACGCUCUCUUGCUCUCCACUCCGAUCUUGUCAACAAAAGUUGUUCACCGUCUUGGUCGUCCACGACAUAGCUGCGCAAUCGUUCCUCAUGAACCUUCAACCCCCCAUGACUUCACUACAACAUGACAGAGCUUUGGUAACACAGUGUUGUGUUACUAUAGGCCCAAAACAGUGUUACUAGACUACAUAGUAACAUGUUUUCAAAUGUGUUCCAUUAGACCGUGUUACUAAGUGGUGUCCACUGUCACAUAUAGUAAUUGUUACCAUAUAUCAAAAAUUGUGUUACAAUUAAGUUAUAGUAACAUGCAUAUUUUGUGUUACAAAUCGCGUUGGUAACACAUUUUUGUAACUAUAGUAACACCCAUAGUAACAUGUUUUUGUAAACAUAGAACAUUGUGGUAACAUGUUUUUGUAAUUAUAGUAACACAACUUGUAACAUAAUAUACAAAUAUCACAAGACAACACUGGUAACACAUUUUGUAACUAUAGUAACACCAUCAGUAACACUACUAUAUUAGAAUGGCAACAUAAUUAAUGUAUUUUUAAAAUUAUUAACCACAGAAGUAGAUACCCAUUUUAUGGAAUAUUCAUUUAUUUAAUAAAAUUAUUAUGGCUGCUAAAAUAGUUAAUUACUUUAUUAUGAUGCUUGGCUUCAUUAAAAUGAUAUACACAAAUUGAAAAUAUCAAGGUAUUUAUUAUGAAUAUACAAGAGUGUAGGAUACAUAUGCAUUACAAUAAAUACAUACCAAUGUUAUUGGCUAGACAUCAUAUCAUUCAUAUAUAUUUUACUAUAGAGAACACAUCUAUGAAGAAUAUUACACCAUAGCAUUUGCAUCAAUUCGACCAAAGAAAAAGAUCUUCUGAAUGGUGUUACAUUUUUCAAUCUAUCAAUGCAAACUACAAUUAUUGCUAAGUAAAGUCUUCUAAUUACAUUUGCUUCUUCAUCCAACCGAAGAACGGUUCAGCUGCAACUCCAUUAUGCUUCUUUUGAAUCUGUAAAAGGAAAAUGGACCUUACAGUUAUGUGAUUAAAUGCACACAAAUAUAAUUGUGGAAUAUGGAAGAAAAGACUCCGACUUACAAAAGCUGGAGGUUGGACAAUUAAGUAUCCUGAAGCAAAAGCAUCACCAAUUCUCUUGCAAUCAGAAACUUACCUUACUAACUCCUCAUUAUCCAGAAUAGGUUCAUCUAUGCACACAAGUGCAAAUUUGGCACCUAACUAAAUAUCACCAACCUUAGUUUCUAGAUGAAUACUCUGAAUAGUAGCAUAUGCAACAUUUCGCUGGUUUGGAUAUGUUAAAGUCUUUAAAACUACUUUGGAUGCAACCUAUAUUAUGAUGAAUAUUAUUAUUCAACAACAAUAAUUAUAGGAUUUGCAUGAACAUUACUUCAAUGGAUACACAUAGUCAUACUUCAGGAAGGUUAUCAUGACCAUUCACUUUCUUAGGGAUACACAUUCAGACUGCAGGUGGGACUAAUAAAGGGAUGCCCACACCUGCACGCAUGUGUUAGGCGCAACGGCGGAGCAAGGAAUUAUACAUAAGGGGGGCCGAACAUUGAACAAAAUUCUAAAAUGCAACAUGGUCUAUGGAAUAUGUAGGAUUUUUUUCAAGGAAAAAAUAUAGGAAUUGACCAAGGAUAUGGCAAAAUAGGUACUAUUUUUACUAAUAAAAAGUUGAUAACAUAGACAUAUCACAUAGAUAGCCCGAGAGCAAAAUGUUGAAUUAUAUGACGACGAACGAACAAUUACCAAUUGAACUGCAUAGAACUUCUGUCGUAUUCAAUCCAUCAAAGAUGAUUUUUUUGGGUGCUACAUUGGUGAAAAUGCCAGCCAAAAUUUAAUUAUUUAUUUUGAAACAAAGUAACCAAGAGGUAUCCAUAAAUUACAACACCAAAAUUUGCCUUGUUUUCAUGCUUGUGGUUGUGCUGGGCAUGUGCGUGUGUAUGUGCUUUCUAGUACCUAACUAAAGUACCCGCAAGAUGUUUUUUAACAGUAGACAUUCCAUGGAAAAGUUAUAAAUAAUAUAAACAUUCGAUACGAGUUGUCAACAAGCGCGUUAUGACUGCAUAAACAUAUACCUGAAAACCAGUAGCCAUGGUUACACUGUUACAGUGGCUUUAAGCAACAUGGAAUUGAUAUGCAUAAACCCUUGAGGCAUCGACACUAACCGAGCUCCCCGCAAACAUUCUGUAAGAGAUAAAUAACUUGAGACAGAAAUAGAUGUACAACCAAAAGGUACAGGCUAUAAGCACGCGGUAAAACCUCAUGUUCAACAAUUUUGUAAUUAAAUGUAGAACCUAUUUUGCACAUAAUGUAACCAGGAUGAAUACUUGGUAAAAGAUGAUGUUAUCUUACAUUUACCUAAAUAAAAAAAGUAACCAGGAUGGGUACUUAGUACAAGGUGGUGCUAUCACCCAUUUGAUUAUAUCAAACUCGCAGAUGAGAUUGAGAUAUGAGAAAUACAAUAAUUAAAGUGGAAACGAACAGACGAGCUUCUGCUGUAUUUUCAUAGUGAUUAUUGGGAUAUACUACACUAAAAUGACCAUACAUCUACUAGAACCUUUACCAUGAAAACCACUAUGUACGUAUUACACCUACAUUCCCUGUCAGUAAAGUAGAUGUUCGUGUUGCUCUUCACAAUCUCUACUACCCAAUCUAACGGGUCGGAGUUUGCCGAGUGGCAAAGGAGCAAAGCAAGCCUUUGCCAAGAUUGAGACUCUGUAGACCUGUUUAGCUGAAUUAAAAAAAUGCACAGGUACUCGGGUAUGUAUAUAUGUAUAUGUGCCAGUUUGACAGUAUUCGAGUAUGUACGGAUAUAUGACGAGUAUUCAGGUAUGUACAUCUCCACCACGGCCAAGAACACAUACUACUAUUAUUAGCAGGAGAAUCAAUUAGCAGCGGGCAUGUACCCACGACGCCGGCCUCGCAUCAUGUCUUUCCACUAGUAAACAAACAAGCAAACAGCCUGCUGGAUGGAUUAUGGUGGAAGCUAGCUUACAUAUGGAUCGAUUCCUCGUGGAUCCUAGCAGAUGACGAGGAACGGUGGCUCCUAGCGCGGGAGACGCGCACGGCCCAUGCGCCCAUUCUCCUCAAGCCUCUUCAAUUAUUCAUCGCCGCCGGAAGGAGGGAUGGUUGCCGACGCUCCCGGCUGGAUCUACCAAUGGCUCCGGCGGCUGCGCGCUCCUCAUGGUCACCUCCUCGGGCCUCCUCCAAGCUCCAGCCUAGUGGUGAGGAGGAAACGGCCCCGGGUCCCAGGUGCGUGGGUGACCUACGGAGAAAGGGGCGAGCGGUGGCGGCAUGAGGCCUCCAGGCUAGCGGCGGUGACUUGCGGCGGCUUCGAUCGCUAGGCGUGGGUGCGAAGGGAUAAGGAGAGAGGGGGAUAAAAG